UUCCGGUUGAUCCCGCCGGAGGUUACUGCUAUCGGUGUUCGACUAAGCCAUGCAAGUCAUAUGUUCCUCGUGAACAUGGCAUACUGCUCAGUAACACGUGGAUAACCUGCCCUUGGGUCUGGGAUAACCCCGGGAAACUGGGGAUAAUACCGGAUGACGCAUAUGUGCUGGAAUGCUCUAUGCGUAAAACGGAUUCGUCCGCCCAAGGAUGGGUCUGCGGCCUAUCAGGUAGUAGUGGGUGUAAUGUACCUACUAGCCAACAACGGGUACGGGUUGUGAGAGCAAGAGCCCGGAGAUGGAUUCUGAGACAUGAAUCCAGGCCCUACGGGGCGCAGCAGGCGCGAAAACUUUACAAUGCGGGAAACCGUGAUAAGGGAACACCGAGUGCCAGCAUCAUAUGCUGGCUGUCCAGAUGUGUAAACUACAUCUGUUAGCAAGGGCCGGGCAAGACCGGUGCCAGCCGCCGCGGUAACACCGGCGGCCCGAGUGGUGACCGUUAUUAUUGGGUCUAAAGGGUCCGUAGCCGGUUUGGUCAGUCCUCCGGGAAAUCUGAUAGCUUAACUGUUAGGCUUUCGGGGGAAACUGCCAGGCUUGGAACCG
Molecule: ribosomal RNA, 600 nt
Filed under: uncultured archaeon
Lineage: Archaea
Description: bacterial SSU rRNA
Rfam family: Archaeal small subunit ribosomal RNA
Source: RNAcentral